RNAcentral lists this ribosomal RNA (39 nucleotides) under Pulsatilla tongkangensis. RNAcentral describes it as "partial 18S ribosomal RNA". Lineage: Eukaryota; Viridiplantae; Streptophyta; Magnoliopsida; Ranunculales; Ranunculaceae. The record is from RNAcentral.
UUGUUUUUCGCGUGAAAGGAACCUGCGGAAGGAUCAUUG